UACGUAGGGUGCGAGCGUUAAUCGGAAUUACUGGGCGUAAAGCGUGCGCAGGCGGUUCGUUAAGUCAGCUGUGAAAGCCCCGGGCUCAACCUGGGAACUGCGGUUGAAACUGGCGAACUAGAAUCUGGCAGAGGGGGGUGGAAUUCCACGUGUAGCAGUGAAAUGCGUAGAGAUCCGGAGGAACACCAGAGGCGAAGGCGGCCUACUGGGUCAGUACUGACGCUGAGCCGCGAAAGCCAGGGGAGCGAACGGG
This 253-nucleotide ribosomal RNA is filed under the name uncultured bacterium. Its description in RNAcentral is "partial 16S ribosomal RNA". It matches the Rfam family "Bacterial small subunit ribosomal RNA", at positions 524 to 776 of the family's 1533-position model. The record is from RNAcentral.